GCCAGUGUGAUGUAGUCGUUUGUGGUUGCUGGACUACAAUUCCAGAGACCAGGGUUCGAAUCCUUGCUCAACAUUGGCU
This is a non-coding RNA of Phrynosoma platyrhinos (Desert horned lizard), 79 nucleotides long. Lineage: Eukaryota; Metazoa; Chordata; Lepidosauria; Squamata; Phrynosomatidae. The record is from the annotation of a GenBank genome assembly.